GAUGAAGAACGCAGCGAAAUGCGAUAAGUAAUGUGAAUUGCAGAAUUCAGUGAAUCAUCGAAUCUUUGAACGCACCUUGCACCCUUUGGCAUUCCGAAGGGUAUGCUCGUUUGAGUGUCAUUGUACUCUCACACUCUCCGAUCCUAUGGAUUCGGGGAGCGGUGGACUUGGGUGUUGCUGCCUUUCCUUGUGGCUCACCUCAAAUGUGUCAGUGCACCUCUUGGUUGGACAUAGUACGGCGUGAUAAGUGUCUUCGCCGGCACCUCGCAAGAGGGUGGCCGAUCGGGAGCUCUGUGCUUUCAAACCGUCUUCGGACAAUUUCUGACAACUUGACCUCAAAUCGAGGAGGACUACCCGCUGAACUUAAGCAUAUCAAUAAGCGGAGGA
Molecule: unclassified non-coding RNA, 387 nt
Filed under: soil metagenome
Description: partial contains 5.8S ribosomal RNA, internal transcribed spacer 2, and large subunit ribosomal RNA
Rfam family: 5.8S ribosomal RNA (bases 1-120)
Source: RNAcentral